Long non-coding RNA from Herpailurus yagouaroundi (jaguarundi), 1253 nucleotides. RefSeq lists it as uncharacterized. NCBI's taxonomy places the organism in Eukaryota, Metazoa, Chordata, Mammalia, Carnivora, Felidae. The transcript is spliced from 2 exons. The record is from RefSeq and is a predicted model, not a curated record.
UAUGUGUCUGCAAGACUGCUCUCCUACACAACGUACGUAAGAUAGCUGAAUCAGAUGUACAUUGUGGACAUGCUUUGCUAAGUUUCUGUUAUUAAUCAUUGCUGAUCUGUGUUUUCCUGAAAACGUAUAUAAGAAGAUGUACAAUAAACCUCGGUACCUCAGGCUGUUGGCUCGGGGUCCCCGGUGCCUCGCUAUUCUGUCCUCUCUUUUUCUCAGUUCCUUCGCCGCCCCGGGUUCCCGGCCCAUUGAGGUGGAAAAGUGGUGCCGAACAGGGACCUGAAGCCCCCUCUGAGGAGUGAUAGGCAAGCGUUUGGAACUCUACAGAAGGCAAUGGAUCCCGUCAACAAAUAUGGAUACCUCUUUGGAAAGUCCAGCCCAGGAUUAGACAUCAGCAAAAUGAAGGAGACUUCUCAGCCACUAUAAGGCCUGCCUGACGACCCAACCCCUGGUGAAGGAGAUGGUGGCACUGACCCUAUAGAGACCCCAAAAAUAGAAGAUGGCUCCAAUCCCUCCUCCCACAUGGGGACAACUGAAGAAUCUCACACAAUGUGUAGAAUGAGUCCUGGAAACAACUAAAUCCAGCAAAACUCCUAAACGCUUGUUCUCAGCCAUGCUGGCAGUUGUGACUUGAACCUUGGCACACGUAUAGGGGUUUGGCUCCCUGUAAAUUUGACUAGAGGCUGUGAAGAAAACCCUGUAGAGGGUCUUACAUCAAAGGCUACUGCACCCUUAGAAGGCGAAGGAAUGCACAGAGCUUUCAUCAUAAGAUGCUUACUACAGCUGUGGCUUUGAAAGGGAAGAGGGUACUGUGGGAAACAGAACACCACAAUGACCACAGGGGCAUAUUCAUUCAGGUUCCAAGAUCUCUGAGAAAACUUGAGAUCAUAAAGUUAAAAAUAACUUGAGAGGACUUGAGUGAAUUGCUCUUGGGAAAUGUGGUCUGUUCUUUAGUACACAAAUAGGGAUGUUUUGCUUAAAGGAAGUCAGCUGUAUAUAGCACAGUGCAUUCACUCCCUUCUUUGUCUUUGCCUCUAUCAUAAAGAUUCUUAUCGGAACAUAUGUAUCUGCAAGACUGCUCUCCUACACAACAUACGUAAGACAGCUGAAUCAGAUGUACAUUGUUGACAUGCUUUGCUAAGCUUCUGUUGUUAAUCAUUGCUGAUCUGGUUUUUUUCCUGAAAACAUAUAUAAGAAGAUGUACAAUAAACCUUGGUACCUCGGGCUGUUGGCUCGGGGCACCCUGUGCCUCGCUA